Molecule: ribosomal RNA, 253 nt
Filed under: uncultured bacterium
Lineage: Bacteria
Description: partial 16S ribosomal RNA
Rfam family: Bacterial small subunit ribosomal RNA
Source: RNAcentral
UACGUAGGGUGCAAGCGUUGUCCGGAAUUAUUGGGCGUAAAGAGCUCGUAGGCGGUUUGUUGCGUCGGCUGUGAAAUCCCGAGGCUCAACCUCGGGUCUGCAGUCGAUACGAGCAAACUAGAGUGUUGCAGGGGAGACUGGAAUUCCUGGUGUAGCGGUGAAAUGUGCAGAUAUCAGGAGGAACACCGGUGGCGAAGGCGGGUCUCUGGGCAACAACUGACGCUGAGGAGCGAAAGCGUGGGGAGCGAACAGG